Molecule: transfer RNA, 75 nt
Filed under: Cryptotermes declivis
Lineage: Eukaryota; Metazoa; Arthropoda; Insecta; Blattodea; Kalotermitidae
Description: tRNA-Val
Source: RNAcentral
GGCAAGGAAGAAUAACUAGAUCUCAUUUUUUUUUCUAACCUACAAAAAAUGAGAUCUAGUUAUUCUUCUUUGCCC